GCGAGAAUAUUCGACAAUGGACGAAAGUCUGAUCGAGCGACGCCGCGUGUACGAUGAAGUUUUUCGGAAUGUAAAGUACUUUUAUGAGGGAAGAACGUUGACGGUACCUCAUGAAUAAGUGGUUGCUAACUCUGUGCCAGCAGCAGCGGUAAUACAGAGACCACAAGCGUUAUCCGGAAUUAUUGGGCGUAAAGGGUGAGUAGGUGGUAUUGUUAGUCGGGUUUGAAAGAUCGUGGGCUCAACCCAUGAUAUGGACCCGAAACGGCAAAACUAGAAUAUGUAAGAGGUUAGUGGAACUAUAUGUGUAGGGGUAAAAUCCGUUGAUAUAUAUGGGAACACCUACAGCGAAGGCAGCUAACUGGUACAUUAUUGACACUGAAUCACGAAAGCGUGGGUAGCGAUACGGAUUAGAUACCCUUGUAGUCCCUGAGCGGGCUGGCAAGGCGCAU
RNAcentral lists this ribosomal RNA (449 nucleotides) under uncultured bacterium. RNAcentral describes it as "bacterial SSU rRNA". It matches the Rfam family "Bacterial small subunit ribosomal RNA", at positions 355 to 825 of the family's 1533-position model. The record is from RNAcentral.